RNAcentral lists this ribosomal RNA (20 nucleotides) under Macrozamia communis. RNAcentral describes it as "partial 26S rRNA". The record is from RNAcentral. Lineage: Eukaryota; Viridiplantae; Streptophyta; Cycadopsida; Cycadales; Zamiaceae. RNAcentral also lists the same sequence under 1 other name.
UGACCCCAAGUCAGGCGAGA